Molecule: ribosomal RNA, 583 nt
Filed under: uncultured eukaryote
Lineage: Eukaryota
Description: bacterial SSU rRNA
Rfam family: Eukaryotic small subunit ribosomal RNA
Source: RNAcentral
CUGCGGCUCAAUUGAACUCAACACUGAGGAAUUACAGGUCCAGACAAUGGGAGGAUGACAGAUUGAUAGCUCUUUCUGAAUUCUUUGGGUGGUGGUGCAUGGCCGUUCUUAGUUGGUGGAGUGAUUGUCUGGUAAUUCCGAUAACGAACGAGACCUUAACCUACUAACUAGACAGAAGUGUUAUUACACUUGAGGCUUCUUAGAGGGACUGUGUGGUAAAACCUCAAGGAAGUUUAAGGCAAUAACAGGUCUGUGAUGCCCUUAGAUGUCCUGGGCUGCACGCGUGCUACACUGAUGCACUCAAUUAGUUCCUGUUCCGAAAGGUAAUGGGCAAUCUUGAAAAUGCAUCGUGAUUGGGAUAGAUCUUUGGAAUUAUAGAUCUUAAACGAGGAAUUCCUAGUAAGCGUAAGUCAUCAGCUUGCGCUGACUACGUCCCUGCCCUUUGUACACACCGCCCGUCGCUCCUACCGAUUCCGAGUGAUUUGGUGAACCUUUUGGACUUGCUCCCGCGAGAAAAUUAAGUAAACUGAAUCACUUAGAGGAAGGAGAAGUCGUAACAAGGUUUCCGUAGGUGAACCUGCAG